Molecule: unclassified non-coding RNA, 432 nt
Filed under: soil metagenome
Description: partial contains 5.8S ribosomal RNA, internal transcribed spacer 2, and large subunit ribosomal RNA
Rfam family: 5.8S ribosomal RNA (bases 1-120)
Source: RNAcentral
GAUGAAGAACGCAGCGAAAUGCGAUACGUAAUGUGAAUUGCAGAAUUCAGUGAAUCAUCGAAUCUUUGAACGCAUAUUGCGCUCUCUGGUAUUCCGGAGAGCAUGCUUGUUUGAGUAUCAGUAAACACCUCAACUUCCAUAUCUUUUUUGAAAUGGGAGUUGGACUUGAGUGAUCCCAACGCUUUUCCUCACCGAAAAGUGGCGGGUUACUUGAAAUGCAGGUGCAGCUGGACUUUUCUCUGAGCUAUACGCAUAUCUAUUUAGUCUGCCUAAAAAACAGAUUAUUACCUUUGCUGCAGCUAACAUAAAGGAGAUUAGUUCUUGUGCUGACUGAUGCAGGAUUCACAAAGACAGCUUCGGCCGACUUUGUAAACUCGAUCUCAAAUCAAGUAAGACUACCCGCUGAACUUAAGCAUAUCAAUAAGCGGAGGA